This is a non-coding RNA of Bactrocera oleae (olive fruit fly), 362 nucleotides long. NCBI's taxonomy places the organism in Eukaryota, Metazoa, Arthropoda, Insecta, Diptera, Tephritidae. The record is from RefSeq and is a predicted model, not a curated record.
UUUGUUAACCAUCUACUAUAUAAGGGCUGCCGGAUAAUGCAGCAAGCACAGUUCUAAUUAGAGUAUUGCCGAGUGUUGGGUCGUAAACUCGAAAAGGGAUUGAUAUCAAUGGCGAGUUACAAGGUAGACGAUUUACCGCGAAAGCCGUUACAAUUAUAUAAUGGUAAGGAUUAUCGAGUAGAAUCGAACUCGAGUUUGCCAUAUCUAAUUCUACUUAUACCCAUUUUAACCUAAAUUAGAGAAUGCUGUUCUAAGCCCCAGCCAGGGAUAAAGCCAGCUCGGACAAAACAAACAUAAUUUUUGGGAAUUUAAAUUAGAAUAACACUAAUUUAUUAAGAUUACAUAUUGUAAUACAUGUAUCC